This 26-nucleotide non-coding RNA is filed under the name Rattus norvegicus (Norway rat). The record is from RNAcentral. Lineage: Eukaryota; Metazoa; Chordata; Mammalia; Rodentia; Muridae.
UUCCUGAGUUCUGGUAAGGUGGCCCC